CCGGGAAGUGCGCGAGGCCCGGGCCCCCCGGCCGGGGUCUCCCCCCCAACACCUGCCCGGCGCGGUCCGGGGUCGGGCCCUGGGCUCCCUAACCCCGGCCCUCUGCCUCGGAGGGCCCUAAGUCAGGUCUCCUAAGGUGUUGCUCAGGAGCUCUGACGGCUCCAGAAGGGGCGGAUAGCCUUCCUCCGUUCAACCCAAACUUUCUGAGCGCCUACCACGUGGACAGCUGCAGCUCCGUGCGGCGUUUAGGACAGGCUCCCUGUCUCCAAGAGGCUUUCCAGAUAAAAAGGAAGAAUAAAUAGCGUAACCUUCUGA
This is a long non-coding RNA of Canis lupus familiaris (dog), 315 nucleotides long. RefSeq lists it as uncharacterized. The transcript has 2 exons. NCBI's taxonomy places the organism in Eukaryota, Metazoa, Chordata, Mammalia, Carnivora, Canidae. The record is from RefSeq and is a predicted model, not a curated record.